ACUCCUACGGGAGGCAGCAGUGAGGAAUAUUGGUCAAUGGGCGCAAGCCUGAACCAGCCAUGCCGCGUGCAGGAAGACUGCCUUAUGGGUUGUAAACUGCUUUUAUAUGGGAAGAAACCCCUCUACGUGUAGAGGCUUGACGGUACCAUAAGAAUAAGCACCGGCUAACUCCGUGCCAGCAGCCGCGGUAAUACGUAGGUGGCAAGCGUUAUCCGGAAUUAUUGGGCGUAAAGCGCAUGUAGGCGGCUUUUUAAGUCUGAUGUGAAAGCCAGUGGCUCAACCACUGAAUUGCAUUGGAUACUGGAAAGCUAGAAUCUUGGAUAGGUAAGUGGAAUUUCAUGUGUAGCGGUGGAAUGCGUAGAUAUAUGAAGGAACACCAAUGGCGAAGGCAGCUUACUGGACAAGUAUUGACGCUGAGAUGCGAAAGUGUGGGUAGCAAACAGGAUUAGAUA
RNAcentral lists this ribosomal RNA (452 nucleotides) under uncultured bacterium. Its description in RNAcentral is "bacterial SSU rRNA". It matches the Rfam family "Bacterial small subunit ribosomal RNA", at positions 335 to 784 of the family's 1533-position model. The record is from RNAcentral.